Molecule: non-coding RNA, 244 nt
Filed under: Enterococcus sulfureus
Lineage: Bacteria; Bacillati; Bacillota; Bacilli; Lactobacillales; Enterococcaceae
Description: T-box sequence
Rfam family: T-box leader
About the family: Uncharged tRNA acts as the effector for transcription antitermination of genes in the T-box leader family. T-boxes are found upstream of many aminoacyl-tRNA synthetase genes and some amino acid biosynthetic genes usually in Gram-positive bacteria. The anticodon of a specific tRNA base pairs to a specifier sequence within the T-box motif, and the NCCA acceptor tail of the tRNA base pairs to a conserved bulge in the T-box antiterminator hairpin.
Source: RNAcentral
UAAAAAGCAAUGAAAAGAUAAGUAUAUUUCACUGAAAGUUUAGAGAGCUCCGGUUGCUGAAAAGGGGUCUGGAAGUGGUUUAGAAAAUGGUCUUUAGAGCAGAGCUGGUGAGUUUUCGGACAAGCCACUACGGGAUACGCCCGUUAACGCGUGACAGUAUGCAGAGAGUUUCUCUAAGUACUUGUGAGGCUGGAAUUCCAGCGAAUAAAGGUGGUAACACGGAAAUGAUACUUUCGUCCUUUGU